GUUUAUUAUAAAUUGUUAUGUAGAGAGUUUAUUUUUUUACUAUGUUUGUUGGCUCAACUCUAUUUGUAUGAUUAAUGUGAACAAAUAAAUUUAUUAUUAUUAUUUGGGAGCUAUCACACGCGCUGACACAUGAUUCCAGCUGGUGCAUUAUGACGACGAACGUAAGCGUGUAGUGGCCGAACCAGUGGAGUUGUCACAGUAAUUCCGCAAGUUCGACCUCUCGAAUCCGUGGGAACUGUUCCCCAACUACCGAGAUGCUCCCCCAGCAGCCGAAGAAAUUCCCAUCAAUACUGAGUCCAAGAAGUAGACGUUCCCGACCCCAUCAAAUGUUUCAGUAAGUAUAUAAAUACUAUGUUAUGUUACUACAAACAUAAAAAAAUAUUAGAAAAUCA
Nilaparvata lugens (brown planthopper) is the source of this 392-nucleotide long non-coding RNA. RefSeq lists it as uncharacterized. The record is from RefSeq and is a predicted model, not a curated record. The transcript has 2 exons. NCBI's taxonomy places the organism in Eukaryota, Metazoa, Arthropoda, Insecta, Hemiptera, Delphacidae.